Diabrotica virgifera virgifera (western corn rootworm) is the source of this 691-nucleotide long non-coding RNA. RefSeq lists it as uncharacterized. Lineage: Eukaryota; Metazoa; Arthropoda; Insecta; Coleoptera; Chrysomelidae. The record is from RefSeq and is a predicted model, not a curated record. The transcript has 3 exons.
AAGUUACAAAACUAGGGUUAUGUUUGUAUCAUUGUUGUCGUUUGUCGUUUCAUUUCAUUGUUUGUUUGUCCUAGUAUUUUGCCUUUUUUGGAUUCAUUUGGAUUUUGUUGGCUGUUUUGUGUGUAUUUUUUAAUACUUCUGUUUGUCAUUUGUAAAUUUAAUUUACCACAAUGCAAAGUGAUUAUUUAAGGAAAUUAUUAAUGGAAACUCCGCAGAUGUUUUAGAAAGAUAUUCAUUGAAGCUGAAAAUAAUUGGAGAUUUAGAUCCAUAUACAUACAAUUCAGUCAUCAGAAUUGGAUUUUACAGUGCAUUCCAUCAAUUACUGUUAUAAUGCUAUUAUAGAUAGACUGGUAGAGUCUCACAGUUACUGCUUUAAGCAGCAGAUGAAAGCAUACAAAAGCCUUCAGGCACAUAAAAGCCUUCACAACUGGAUUUGUUUUGAAACAUUGAUGUUUUGAUGAUUUCUAUAUUAUUGUUGGAAAGGUGAAGCAUUCCCAACAAGCUAAUGCUAAACCGCUAGAUGCUUCGGUGAAUAGCCAGUUCCAAUGGCAUAGCAAAUGCACAUUGUAUGUGUAUGGCCAGUAAUAGUGAAAUUUGCAGCCAUAUUGCAGCAAUCUUAUUUGCAGCUGAGUAUGCCCACAGCAAGACAGAAGAAGAAGAACCCAAUGCAUUUACAGAUGUUACAGCUAUG